GUCUUUAUGAAGUCCCCUCUUAACCCUCUCCUUACAAGAGUAAACAAAACUGCAGACUUCGCCCUCUAUUAUUCAAUCGACGGUAAUAAAGAUCUGUUAAAAUCAUCGACCUGUUAGAGGGACACAAUUCGUCUGUCAGUUCUCGGUGAGCAACAGGAUGUCGCCAUAUCAGCCUCCUGACCUCUAGGCGGCGCUGGGUGAUCAAGGAUUGAGUAGGAGCCGUGUGAAGACAGAGGGGUAAGGACAGGGGUAAGGACACCUGUUCUUUUCUGUUCAUAUUUGAUUAACGUGAACAUUAAUUGUGACCAAUUCUGGAUAUACAGCAGGCGGGAAGCGCAGGCCGCCAUGGAAGGAAAGCGGAAACCGUCCCUCGCUGCGCGGGAAGGACUGGUUCACCUCUCUCGCCUCCGGGCCGUGUUAACCGCUGUGUUCACGGAGAAUUCACGAGUUUAAUAAGACAGAUUUCAUCACUGCGUGUCUCCUCCGACUCUGCAAACCAGCCGCCGGGUGCGGCGCGCGCCACCGUGCCCUGAGGAUGCUGCGACGCCUCCUGGUUGGCGGCCAUGGGUGGAGGCAGGCGGGAGUCUUCUCUGCAGCCGGCGCGUGGGAGGCGAGGAGGUGGGAGCAGAUGACGACACGAAGAGUCUACUUUUCCCGGGCCUUAUCUGCAAAAGAUAGCUGCCCAUUUUUUUUUAGCUUCUCAAGAAAUGGAUUAUCCCUGGUUUCAAGUUACUUUCAGACCUUGCCCAAACUUAAAUGCUGUGUGGCCAAGUACUGCUGUGAACUGCGACACGGUGGUCUUAUACAGAGAAGACGGAAGCAAGAUGUUGAGACCUCUUAAAACUCAUUUUGUGAGUCACAGACCUUCAAUUUCUAAGGGGCAGUCACCCCUUUAUUAUUGCACUGCAUAAUUGUUUCAUGUCCAGGCUUAAAAGUUCUUUAAAUAUGAUGCAAUGAAGUGUAUUUUAAACUAUUAGAUCUAGGAGAAUUUUGUGUGAAGUGCUUCGGUUCUGUGAACACAUACUGUAACUCAGUUCUGCUUGAAAGCAUGUUAGCAAUGACUUAUUCAUAAAUUACUUAUGUUGGAAUGUUAAUGGUUGUCUUAAUUAGCAGGCUGACUUUUUAAUUUUAAGGUUGCUUAAAUAUUUAUAUCUCAAUCACACACACUGUAUGGUUUCAGAUAAUUACAAAUACCCUUGAGGCGGGAUACAAUUAAAAUUUGGACUAACGUUGAAGGCUAUUUACAAG
This 1248-nucleotide long non-coding RNA is filed under the name Lepisosteus oculatus (spotted gar). RNAcentral describes it as "lncRNA (ENSLOCG00000021524.1)". Lineage: Eukaryota; Metazoa; Chordata; Actinopteri; Semionotiformes; Lepisosteidae. The record is from RNAcentral.